AGUGAACGCUGGCGGUAGGCCUAACACAUGCAAGUCGAACGGCAGCACAGUAAGAGCUUGCUCUUACGGGUGGCGAGUGGCGGACGGGUGAGGAAUACAUCGGAAUCUACUUUUUCGUGGGGGAUAACGUAGGGAAACUUACGCUAAUACCGCAUACGACCUACGGGUGAAAGCAGGGGAUCUUCGGACCUUGCGCGAUUGAAUGAGCCGAUGUCGGAUUAGCUAGUUGGCGGGGUAAAGGCCCACCAAGGCGACGAUCCGUAGCUGGUCUGAGAGGAUGAUCAGCCACACUGGAACUGAGACACGGUCCAGACUCCUACGGGGGGCAGCAGUGGGAAUAUUGGACAAUGGGCGCAAGCCUGAUCCAGCCAUACCGCGUGGGUGAAGAAGGCCUUCGGGUUGUAAAGCCCUUUUGUUGGGAAAGAAAAGCAGCAGGUUAAUACCCCGCUGUUCUGACGGUACCCAAAGAAUAAGCACCGGCUAACUUCGUG
Molecule: ribosomal RNA, 491 nt
Filed under: uncultured bacterium
Lineage: Bacteria
Description: partial 16S ribosomal RNA
Rfam family: Bacterial small subunit ribosomal RNA
Source: RNAcentral